This 303-nucleotide ribosomal RNA is filed under the name uncultured bacterium. RNAcentral's name for it is "bacterial SSU rRNA". It matches the Rfam family "Bacterial small subunit ribosomal RNA", at positions 29 to 334 of the family's 1533-position model. The record is from RNAcentral.
AUAAACGCUGGCGGCAUGCCUAAUACAUGCAAGUCGAACGGACGCAGUAAUGCGUUAGUGGCGAACGGGUGAGUAACACGUAAGUAACCUAACCCAAGGACGAGGAUAACUACUGGAAACGGUAGCUAAAACUGGAUAGGAUACGACUUCAAAUGGGGACGUAUUUAAAGGCGCUGAAAGGCGGUGCCAUGGGAGGGGCUUGCGGCGCAUUAGAUAGUUGGGGAGGUAACGGCUCACCAAGUCAACGAUGCGUAGCUGGGCUGAGAGGCCGAACAGCCACACUGGGACUGAGACACGGCCCAG